GGGGUUGACUGGAUUUGACAGCAGGAUGAGAUGGUAUGUAAGCACGCGGAGCCUCGUUGGCUAGCUCCUAAAUCUGAGUGAACACAAAUUUAAUUGGCGAAAACAAUUACGCUCUCGCUGCCUAAUCGAAGUUCAGUAGAUUACUGGCUCAAUCCCGUUACUAGGUGAUGGGACGAGACAUCGCUCCAAGGAUGUUGUUCCGAAUCUGAGGAUUUAGCGGUGCAGAAAAAUCGGGAAUAGCCCUUGUAGGCCUCGCUGCAUGGGUGAAAUUUAGAGGCUAAGGUGUAGGUUGGUGGUCCAGGUCUUGCCGACACUCGAAAACCAAAGGCUGGAAUAAGCGUGUAGAAAGCGUAUGAUUUCCCUGUUUGGACGAGGGUUCGAAUCCCUCCAGCUCCACCA
Molecule: transfer-messenger RNA, 399 nt
Filed under: Bacteroidaceae
Lineage: Bacteria; Pseudomonadati; Bacteroidota; Bacteroidia; Bacteroidales
Also listed under: 2 other names
Description: Prevotella sp002407775 Standard tmRNA
Rfam family: transfer-messenger RNA
About the family: Bacterial tmRNA, also known as 10Sa RNA or SsrA, is named for its dual tRNA and mRNA-like properties. Its role is to liberate the mRNA from a stalled ribosome.
Source: RNAcentral